This 342-nucleotide ribosomal RNA is filed under the name Triticum aestivum (bread wheat). RNAcentral's name for it is "partial small subunit ribosomal RNA". The record is from RNAcentral. Lineage: Eukaryota; Viridiplantae; Streptophyta; Magnoliopsida; Poales; Poaceae.
AUGAAUUCCAACCAGGAGGAAACUGUUUUUCAUCUGUUUUGGGGAUGUCCCUUUGCUGUAAGAUGUUGGAAUUACGUCUGCCCAAAUAGAGAAAACCCACUUUCCAUCUGGGAAGCAUUGGAGGACAUGAAAGAUAAAAUCAAAGUACCUUUCUUCAUGGAAAUUAUGAUACUUGGUGCUUGGGCUAUCUGGAUUUCUAGGAACAAUCUAAUAUUCAAUCAGAUCCAACCAUGAUUUCAGAGAUGGAGAACAAUUUACCUGACUGAACUUCAAUGGCUUAGGCACAUAAUCAAGAAGAAGUAUGCUUCUGCUUUUAAUGCCUGGUUGGACAACUUGUUGUAA